RNAcentral lists this ribosomal RNA (472 nucleotides) under uncultured bacterium. RNAcentral describes it as "bacterial SSU rRNA". It matches the Rfam family "Bacterial small subunit ribosomal RNA", at positions 28 to 496 of the family's 1533-position model. The record is from RNAcentral.
GAUGAACGCUAGCGGCAGGCCUAACACAUGCAAGUCGAGGGGUAUAGGGAGCUUGCUUCCUAGAGACCGGCGCACGGGUGCGUAACGCGUAUGCAAUCUACCUUGUACAGGGGAAUAGCCCAGAGAAAUUUGGAUUAAUGCCCCAUAGUAUUAUUAAAUGGCAUCCUUUAAUAAUUAAAGUUCCAACGGUACAAGAUGAGCAUGCGUCCUAUUAGUUAGUUGGUGUGGUAACGGCAUACCAAGGCGAUGAUAGGUAGGGGUCCUGAGAGGGAGAUCCCCCCANACUGGUACUGAGACACGGACCAGACUCCUACGGGAGGCAGCAGUGAGGAAUAUUGGACAAUGGGCGCAAGCCUGAUCCAGCCAUGCCGCGUGCAGGAAGACGGUCCUAUGGAUUGUAAACUGCUUUUUANACAGGAAGAACACUGGUUCGUGAACCAGUCUUAGACGGUACUGUAAGAAUAAGGAUCGG